CCGAGUUGCUGUAGACCGUGGGCCGGGAGCAGUGGCAGCACUGGCAGGUGAUUGGGGCCCUUGGGAGCCAGCUCCACUCCCACCAUGCAGCACUGGAGCCCUGCCUGCCACCCAAGGCCAAGGAUUCCUGGCCAGCUGCAAGGCGACCAGAUGCCCCCUGGGGGACCUGUGACCUCUGCUGUGCCUGGUGGUUACCGUCCUGGGUCUAAGAGGUUUCUCCUGCCUUGGGAUAUCACCAUCACCCCAGAGUCAGCAGAAGGGAAGGGAAGAGAAGGGAAGGAAGAGGAAAGGUGGAGGAGGCAUCCCUUCUUACGUGUUUUUUUCUUUGGAGAGACAAAGUCUACCCCAUGGCCAGGGGUUCAUUCCUCCAGGAGGGGCAGGAGGCACAGGAAGAAGAGUAUGGGAGGAGCCACAUCUUUCCAAGAGGACAGAGGAUUCCUAGGAUCCCAGGUUCCUGGUCUGCCCCAGUACUCCCCACCCCCCUCCCGCCCAAAGAUCACAUGGACAAAGGCAACAAGUUCGUGUUAACCCAGUAACCACCUGCGGCACGUGAAGGUAUAUGUAAUGCAGAGCUGAAUGGGACAUAGAAUCUGUCCCCAAGGAGCUGAGAGCCAAAGCCUUGGCCACUUUGUCUGCUUGUGGCUCAUGUACCUGUGUCUUCGACUGAAAGUCACAAGAGAUUCUGGCAUGGGCUCUGCUGUGCACAGGGCACUCAGUAGCAUGCUUGGCACUUCAGCAUCGCUCCGUGAAUCUUUGUUGAAAGUAAAAGUUGUUUUUUUUUAAUCGGUACCGGGGGUCGAACUCAUGACUGCCUGCUUGCAAGGCAGGCGCUUAUGCUGCUGAGCUAAAUCCCCAGCCUCAAAAGUAAAAGUUUGAGAAAAGUGUUGCAAGAAAGGUUUCAUGUCUUUAUUCCUCAUCAUCAAAUUUCAGAGCCUGGAGCAUAGUGGUUGCUCCGACAACAUCAACUGAAAGAAAAAUUUAAAGAAUAAACAACAAAUGAGUGAGGGAGUGAGUGAAUAAAUGAAGCUUCUGGGAGCUGCAGGAAGAAUAAUUAGGUCUUGCUGGAGAAGGGGAUGUGAGGACAGAAAAGAAAGACCUGGUACUUGAAAGCUUCCUGCUGGGGGAUCUUCCGAAGGACUCUGUGAAGCCCUCUGAGGAGGUGAAAGAGCACCCCGUACAGCAAAAUCAAUUUUAAAAAUAUCUACAACGGUGCCUCAUGUGUGUCACUCGCCUGUGUUCCUGGCACUCUGGGAAACUGAGAUAGAAAGUUGGAAGUCUGAGCCCAGCCUGGGCAAUUUAGCAAUUUAGGGAGAUGUCUCACCAAAAAAAAAAAAAAAAAGAUAAAAAGGGGACUGGGGAUCUUCAGGUUCAUAAGCAUGAUGAUUGGGUGUUCAUGCUCUAUGCAUGACAUGUGCCUCCUUUGAAUCUUGUUACGACCUCGGCACAUUAGCCAUCUGACAUGAAAAAAAAGGGGGGGGGGACUGGGGGUGCACCUCUGUGAAGGCCCUCGGUUCAUCCCCCACUGCUGACCAGCAAUGAAUCUGACAGCGGAACCCAGUCUUCAGGACCCACUGCAGAUCUGACCCUUGUAGUUGGUGGCUUGUGGAAUUGUUCUCGCCGAGGUUUGGUGUCACCAGGAAAACCUGGGAUCCCUCACACUGUAGCUGACCUUGGUCCUCUGUCUCCACUGCCUUGCCACAAAUAAUGCUCUUCCCGCUUUCCUGAAGCUGAUCAGGCAGCAUGCUGUGCAUACGCUCAUCGCUAGGACGCUCAGAAAGUUAACCUGCCCAUAGCCUUUUUCAGAAAGCUACGGCGAGAUGUAUUCCAGUAAAAUGAGGAUUGAAGCCAUUUUGACUUUGAUCAUUGGGGUUUUCUCUCUUUUUCUGUCAGCCUGUAGAAUGUCUUUACUCUUAGCAUCCUGAAAGUUAAUGAUGCUGUACCUGAGUAUAUUUCUACUUUCAAACACUGUCCUGGGUGCUUUAUGUGCUCUUUCAACUUGGAAGUCAAGGAUACAUAUUUUAGAUUUAAGGAAAUUUUCUUGAAUUCUUUCUUCCUUUUUUUCCCCCGAAACAGGGUCUCACUAUGUAGCCCAAGCUGGUCUUGAAUUCACAGCAAUCCUCCUGCCUCAGUGUCCCUAAUGACAGACACACACUGCUGUGGCUCUCGCUCCCUGCUUUUAGUUUGAACGUUACCUCUUCAGAGGAUCCCUGACCUAUAGUGUAAAAGAGUUCCCAGACCCAAGUUGUAGCUCCUGCUGCCUGGCCCUUAUUCCCAUGAUGCUUUCCAGUGUCAGUGGUAGCCUUGGUCUCCUUGUCUGUUCUGCCCACUGCUUUUAUCCUUGGAGCCUAGAAAACCUGGCAUAUGUAUAGCUUUCUUCAUUUGUUGAUAAAGACAAGAUUUUUCAGAAAAUACUCUGGAGCAAACGUUUUAUCAUCAGAUUCUGUAGAUCUGUGACUGGUUAGAAAAAUGUAGUCAUUGAUGACGCCCAUUUAGACUGAUAACCAGGGCCCUGUCUUUCAGUUUAUCUUGUCCGCAGCCCCAAUCCCAGCUCUUUACAAAGAUCUGGGCAGUCCAGAGUUUAGCCCUGCAGGUCCCAG
Long non-coding RNA from Cavia porcellus (domestic guinea pig), 2597 nucleotides. NCBI's taxonomy places the organism in Eukaryota, Metazoa, Chordata, Mammalia, Rodentia, Caviidae. The record is from Ensembl.